AGUGAACGCUGGCGGUAGGCCUAACACAUGCAAGUCGAACGGCAGCACACUAAGUGCUUGCUCUUACGGGUGGCGGGUCGCGGACGUGUGAGGAAUACAUCGGGAUCUACUUUUUCGUGGAGGUUAACGUAGCUAAACUUACUCUCAUACCGCAUACGCCCUACGAUGGAAAGCAGUGGAACGUCUCACCUUUCGCGGUUGAAUUAGCCGAUGUCGGAUUAGCUAGUUGGCGGGGUAAAGGCCCACCAAGGCGACGAUCCGUAGCCUGUGUGGGAGGAUGAUAGCCCACACUGGAACUGGGACACGGUCCAGACUACUACGGGAGGCAGCAGUGGGGAAUAUUGGACAAUGGGCGCAAGCCUGAUCCAGCCAGACCGCGUGGGAGAAGAAGGCCUUCGGGUUGUAAAGACCUUUUGUUGGGAAAGAAAAGCAGCAGGUUAAUACCCCGCUGGUCUGACGGUACCCAAAGAAUAAGCACCGGCUAACUUCGUG
RNAcentral lists this ribosomal RNA (492 nucleotides) under uncultured bacterium. RNAcentral describes it as "partial 16S ribosomal RNA". It matches the Rfam family "Bacterial small subunit ribosomal RNA", at positions 29 to 507 of the family's 1533-position model. The record is from RNAcentral.